RNAcentral lists this ribosomal RNA (328 nucleotides) under uncultured eukaryote. RNAcentral's name for it is "partial 18S ribosomal RNA". It matches the Rfam family "Eukaryotic small subunit ribosomal RNA", at positions 1470 to 1796 of the family's 1831-position model. The record is from RNAcentral.
CCCUUAGAUGUUCUGGGCCGCACGCGUGCUACACUGACUACUUCAACGAGUUGUUUCCUUGAUCGAAAGGUCUGGGUAAUCUUUGAAAGGUAGUCGUGAUGGGGAUAGAUCCUUGCAAUUUUUGAUCUUCAACGAGGAAUUCCUAGUAAACGCAAGUCAUCAGCUUGCAUUGAUUACGUCCCUGCCCUUUGUACACACCGCCCGUCGCACCUACCGAUUGAAUGGUCCGGUGAAUCUUUAGGACUGUGGCUGAGGCCUUGCCUUGUGCGGGUCUGGCCGUGGGAAUUUAGUUAAACCUUACCAUUUAGAGGAAGGUGAAGUCGUAACA